Molecule: long non-coding RNA, 936 nt
Organism: Jaculus jaculus (lesser Egyptian jerboa)
Lineage: Eukaryota; Metazoa; Chordata; Mammalia; Rodentia; Dipodidae
Exons: 5
Source: RefSeq, a predicted model, not a curated record
CCCCGAGGAUUUCGGACUAAGCCUUCUGGGAUUCGGAGUUCCACAGACUGGAAGCCGAAGAGGUGCCCCAUCGGAGCUACCCGGCCCCAAUAUCCUUUACGCACAGGACCCAUUUGGAGCAGCAGGGUAGAGAGAGAUGUGCGCUGGGAGCUUUUCCCUUCCUCCUCCCACCCUCUGCCUGUGGACGCAGCAGGAGAGGUGGGAGGAGCAGUACCUGUCCUGCCGAUGCCUGCGCUGCAGUGCACCACAAUGGGUGGAUCAGGGCAAUGCCCCUUGCCGCGUGCUCCUAGGCUGUUGACAGCCAGGCUCUGCUGUCUUCUGACAACUCUCCGGAAGUCGAUAAGGGAAGCUGCUGAAGAUGGGACGCCGUAAUCUGGCCAGCUCAGGAACUGGAAGUGGCUCACCCGGCGCUCCUGCCGCUCCUGAGACGACAAAAGCAGCAAAAGCUAUCGAGGCCUUUUCUGUCUGCUCCCGAGUUCGAUUUGUCACCGUGAGGAAGCCAAAUCGGAUCCGAGAGUCUUUUUCUAAAGGCCAAUACUGUCCACAUUUUCUCCUGCCGCCUUCCUCAAAGCUGAAGACAGACAGAGAAGGUAGAAAGGGCCUGUACCUGACAAGGGAGUGGGAAAAACACUGGAUGCUACUGGGACUCUUGUGGAAAGACCUGCCCACCUCACCAGUUUUCUGUGGCCCCCAAGUACUUUGAGAAGGUGGAUGAGUAGAGGAGAGAAAAAGUCACAAGCAGCAGAACUAGAGAGCAAAGAGAAACUAGAAAUUCAGUAGCAAGGAAGACAGAUACACGCUUGGAUCUGGAGCCACAGGAAGGUGGACUUUCCCAUGUUCCCAGUACCUCCUUUAGUGGAUACGGCUACGACCUCAGGAUAGGCUCUAAUUGCCACUGGGUGACCACAGCCAUGGAAUAAAACUCUGCCAAAAAGG